This 253-nucleotide ribosomal RNA is filed under the name uncultured bacterium. Its description in RNAcentral is "partial 16S ribosomal RNA". It matches the Rfam family "Bacterial small subunit ribosomal RNA", at positions 524 to 776 of the family's 1533-position model. The record is from RNAcentral.
UACGUAGGGGGCAAGCGUUGUCCGGAAUUAUUGGGCGUAAAGCGCGCGCAGGCGGUCCUUUAAGUCUGAUGUGAAAGCCCACGGCUCAACCGUGGAGGGUCAUUGGAAACUGGGGGACUUGAGUGCAGGAGAGAAGAGUGGAAUUCCUGGUGUAGCGGUGAAAUGCGCAGAUAUCAGGAGGAACACCGAUGGCGAAGGCAGCUCGCUGGGACGGUACUGACGCUGAGGCGCGAAAGCGUGGGGAGCAAACAGG